GACGAACGCUGGCGGCGUGCCUAAUACAUGCAAGUAGGACGCAGUUGCGAACGGGUGAGUAACGCGUAGGUAACUACCUAUUAGAGGGGGAUAACUAUUGGAAACGAUAGCUAAUACCGCAUAAUAGUAGAUGGACCUGCCUUGUAUUAGCAAGUAGGUAGGGUAAUGGCCUAACUAGGCAACGAUACAUAGCCGACCUUGGAGGUGGAUCGGCCACACUGGGACUGCGACACGGUCCAGACUCCUACGGGAGGCAGCAUUAGGGAAUCUUCGGCAAUGGGGGAACCCGUACCGAGCAACGCCGCGUGAGUGAAGAAGGUUUUCGGAUCGUAAAGCUCUGUUGUUAAGGAAGCGGUACUUAACCAGAAAGGGACGGCUAACUACGUGCCAGCAGCCGCGGUAAUUC
Molecule: ribosomal RNA, 406 nt
Filed under: uncultured bacterium
Lineage: Bacteria
Description: partial 16S ribosomal RNA
Rfam family: Bacterial small subunit ribosomal RNA
Source: RNAcentral